GUGGCUCAGGAUGAACGCUGGCGGUGUGCCUAAGGUAUGCAAGUCGAACGGUUUGUCUUCGGACAAACAGUGGCGAACGAGUGAGUAACACGUGCGAACUUACCCUUUAGAGGGGGAUAGCCUUGAGAAAUCAAGGGUAAUCCCGCAUAAGCUAUUUAUAGGAAAGGACGUAACUGUCCGCUGAAGGAGAGGCGUGCGGCUUAUCAGCUUGUUGGUAGGGUAAUGGCCUACCAAGGCUACGACGAGUAACUGGUCUGAGAGGACGGUCAGUCACGAAGGCACUGAGAUACGGGCCUUACUCCUACGGGAGGCAGCAACUAGGAAUAUUGCACAAUGGGCGAAAGCCUGAUGCAGCGACACCGCGUGUGGGAUGACGGCUUUCGGGUUGUAAACCACUAAACUCUAUCGUCUAGAUAGAGGAUAAGCGCCUGCUAACUGCGUGCCAGCAGCCGCGGUAAUACGUAGGGCGCAAGCGUUAUCCGGAAUUAUUGGGCGUAAAGGGUCCGUAGGUGGUUUAUUAAGUUUUUUGUUAAAUCCCCCGGCUUAACCGGGGAAAUGCAGAGAAUACUAGUAAACUAGAGUGGAUUCGGGGCUACUGGAAUUUGUCAUGUAGGGGUGAAAUCCGUGGAUAUGACAAGGAACACCGAGGGCGAAGGCGGGUAGCUAGGAUCUUACUGACACUCAUGGACGAAAGCUAGGGGAGCAAAUCGGAUUAGAGACCCGAGUAGUCCUAGCCUUAAACGAUCCUCGCUAGUUGCUCGUUCCUUCGGGAGUGGGUGACGAAGCUAACGCGUUAAGCGAGGCGCCUGGGGAGUACGACCGCAAGGUUGAAACUCAAACAAAUUGGCGGGAAGGCGCACAACCAGUGGAGCAUGUGGUUUAAUUCGAUACGAAGCGCUGAACCUUACCUGGGCCUGACCUCUACUUUACGUCUAACCGAAAGGGGAUGACUAAACGGUAGAUCAGCUGGUGCAUGGCUGUCGUCAGCUCGUGGCGUGAGCCGUUCUCUUAAGUGAGGUAACGAGCGCAACCCCUGUCGUAUGUUAUAUUUGUCAUACGAGACUGCCUUGUCAGAUGACGAGGGGGAAGGAGGGGACGACGUCAAGUCAGCAUGUCGCUUGUGUCCAGGGCUACACACAUCCUACAAUGGACCGGACAAUGGGUUGCUAAGCUGCAAAGUGGAGCUAAUCCCAUCAAACCGGUUCUCAGUGGGGAUUGCAGGCUGCAACUCGCCUGCAUGAACUUGGAAUUGGUAGUAAUCGGAGAUCAGCAGACUCCGGUGAAUACGUUCUCGCCUUUUGUACACACUGCCCAUCAACUGAGCCGAGUUGGCAAUACCCGAAGCCCUCAAUUGAGGUUUAAGGUGGGGCCAGCAAGGAGCGGUAAGUUGUAACAAGGUA
This 1400-nucleotide ribosomal RNA is filed under the name metagenome. RNAcentral's name for it is "bacterial SSU rRNA". It matches the Rfam family "Bacterial small subunit ribosomal RNA". The record is from RNAcentral.